This 82-nucleotide transfer RNA is filed under the name Flavobacteriales bacterium. RNAcentral's name for it is "tRNA-Leu". It matches the Rfam family "tRNA". Rfam says of the family: Transfer RNA (tRNA) molecules are approximately 80 nucleotides in length. Their secondary structure includes four short double-helical elements and three loops (D, anti-codon, and T loops). The record is from RNAcentral. Lineage: Bacteria; Pseudomonadati; Bacteroidota; Flavobacteriia; Flavobacteriales.
GCGGGUAUGGCGGAAUUGGUAGACGCGCUAGACUUAGGAUCUGGUGCCGCAAGGCGUGGGGGUUCGACUCCCUUUACCCGUA